Molecule: ribosomal RNA, 426 nt
Filed under: uncultured bacterium
Lineage: Bacteria
Description: bacterial SSU rRNA
Rfam family: Bacterial small subunit ribosomal RNA
Source: RNAcentral
GGGGAAUAUUGGACAAUGGGGGGAACCCUGAUCCAGCCAUGCCGCGUGUGUGAAGAAGGCCUUUUGGUUGUAAAGCACUUUAAGCGAGGAGGAGGCUCCUAUAGAUAAUACCUAUAGUGAGUGGACGUUACUCGCAGAAUAAGCACCGGCUAACUCUGUGCCAGCAGCCGCGGUAAUACAGAGGGUGCGAGCGUUAAUCGGAUUUACUGGGCGUAAAGCGUACGUAGGCGGCUUUUUAAGUCGGAUGUGAAAUCCCUGAGCUUAACUUAGGAAUUGCAUUCGAUACUGGGAAGCUAGAGUAUGGGAGAGGAUGGUAGAAUUCCAGGUGUAGCGGUGAAAUGCGUAGAGAUCUGGAGGAAUACCGAUGGCGAAGGCAGCCAUCUGGCCUAAUACUGACGCUGAGGUACGAAAGCAUGGGGAGCAAAC